UUGGAGGGCAAGUCUGGUGCCAGCAGCCGCGGUAAUUCCAGCUCCAAUAGCGUAUAUUAAAGUUGUUGCAGUUAAAAAGCUCGUAGUUGAAUUUCGGGAUCAAUUAAUUGGUCGUGCCUCUGGUACGUACUGAUUUUAUUGGUUUCUCCCUUCUGAAGAACCAUGAUGUCAUUAAUUUGGUGUCGUGGAGAAUCAGGACUGUUACUUUGAAAAAAUUAGAGUGUUUAAAGCAAGCUAACGCUUGAAUACAUUAGCAUGGAAUAAUGAAAUAGGACGUUUGAUCCUAUUUUGUUGGUUUCUAGGAUCGACGUAAUGAUUAAUAGGGAUAGUUGGGGGCAUUAGUAUUCAAUUGUCAGAGGUGAAAUUCUUGGAUUUAUUGAAGACUAACUACCGCGAAAGCAUUUGCCAAGGAUGUUUUCAUUAAUCAAGAACGAAAGUUAGGGGAUCGAAGACGAUCAGAUACCGUCGUAGUCUUAACCAUAAACUAUGCCGACUAGGGAUCGGAUGAUGUUAAUUUUUUAAUGACUCAUUCGGCGCCUUACGGGAAACCAAAGUGUUUGGGUUC
This 565-nucleotide ribosomal RNA is filed under the name uncultured Glomeromycotina. RNAcentral's name for it is "SSU rRNA". It matches the Rfam family "Eukaryotic small subunit ribosomal RNA", at positions 548 to 1114 of the family's 1831-position model. The record is from RNAcentral. Lineage: Eukaryota; Fungi; Glomeromycota.